AUCCAACCGAUGAGUCUCAAACCUGACGAAACACGUGUCCUGGAU
This is a non-coding RNA of Schistosoma mattheei, 45 nucleotides long. NCBI's taxonomy places the organism in Eukaryota, Metazoa, Platyhelminthes, Trematoda, Strigeidida, Schistosomatidae. The record is from Rfam.